UGGGGAAUAUUGCACAAUGGGGGGAACCCUGAUGCAGCGACGCCGCGUGAAGGAAGAAGUAUCUCGGUAUGUAAAGCUCUAUCAGCAGGGAAGAUAAUGACGGUACCUGAGUAAGAAGCUCCGGCUAAAUACGUGCCAGCAGCCGCGGUAAUACGUAUGGAGCAAGCGUUAUCCGGAUUUACUGGGUGUAAAGGGAGUGUAGGCGGCUUUGCAAGUCAGAUGUGAAAGCCCGGGGCUCAACCCCGGGACUGCAUUUGAAACUGUGAAGCUGGAGUGUCGGAGAGGUAAGUGGAAUUCCUAGUGUAGCGGUGAAAUGCGUAGAUAUUAGGAAGAACACCAGUGGCGAAGGCGGCUUACUGGACGAUUACUGACGCUGAGGCUCGAAAGCGUGGGGAAGCAGACAGGAUUAGAUACCCUGGUAGU
Molecule: ribosomal RNA, 423 nt
Filed under: uncultured Lachnospiraceae bacterium
Lineage: Bacteria; Bacillati; Bacillota; Clostridia; Lachnospirales; Lachnospiraceae
Description: bacterial SSU rRNA
Rfam family: Bacterial small subunit ribosomal RNA
Source: RNAcentral